RNAcentral lists this transfer RNA (72 nucleotides) under Camelus bactrianus (Bactrian camel). It matches the Rfam family "tRNA". From Rfam's summary of the family: Transfer RNA (tRNA) molecules are approximately 80 nucleotides in length. Their secondary structure includes four short double-helical elements and three loops (D, anti-codon, and T loops). Further hydrogen bonds mediate the characteristic L-shaped molecular structure. tRNAs have two regions of fundamental functional importance: the anti-codon, which is responsible for specific mRNA codon recognition, and the 3' end, to which the tRNAs corresponding amino acid is attached (by aminoacyl-tRNA synthetases). tRNAs cope with the degeneracy of the genetic code in two manners: having more than one tRNA (with a specific anti-codon) for a particular amino acid; and 'wobble' base-pairing, i.e. permitting non-standard base-pairing at the 3rd anti-codon position. Lineage: Eukaryota; Metazoa; Chordata; Mammalia; Artiodactyla; Camelidae. RNAcentral also lists the same sequence under 2 other names. The record is from Rfam by way of RNAcentral.
GAGGGUACAGCUCAGUGGUAGAGCAUGUGCUUAGCGUGCAUGAGGUCCUGGGUUCAAUCCUCAGUACCACCA